RNAcentral lists this long non-coding RNA (213 nucleotides) under Linum usitatissimum (flax). Its description in RNAcentral is "long non-coding RNA (LUSI_LNC004910)". The record is from RNAcentral. Lineage: Eukaryota; Viridiplantae; Streptophyta; Magnoliopsida; Malpighiales; Linaceae.
GCAACACAAUUUUUAAUUAAAAAAAUAAAAUUUCUUUUUCUUUAAUAGAAAACUAAAUAAAAAUAAAAAAAUUAUGUCAUCUCUACCACCAAUCUCUUCUCGAACCCAGCGGCGGCAUAGUCACUAACUCAGCUCCGCCGUCCACCUAAUUCUCCUUACUGAUUUCACCAUUAGAUCUCUUCUCAAUCUGCCCUUCUUUCCUCCUCUUCCAUU